Molecule: ribosomal RNA, 1069 nt
Filed under: Cladosporium cladosporioides
Lineage: Eukaryota; Fungi; Ascomycota; Dothideomycetes; Cladosporiales; Cladosporiaceae
Also listed under: 6 other names
Description: SSU rRNA
Rfam family: Eukaryotic small subunit ribosomal RNA
Source: RNAcentral
GUCUAAGUAUAAGCAACUAUACGGUGAAACUGCGAAUGGCUCAUUAAAUCAGUUAUCGUUUAUUUGAUAGUACCUUACUACAUGGAUAACCGUGGUAAUUCUAGAGCUAAUACAUGCUAAAAACCUCGACUUCGGAAGGGGUGUAUUUAUUAGAUAAAAAACCAAUGCCCUUCGGGGCUCCUUGGUGAAUCAUAAUAACUUAACGAAUCGCAUGGCCUUGCGCCGGCGAUGGUUCAUUCAAAUUUCUGCCCUAUCAACUUUCGAUGGUAGGAUAGUGGCCUACCAUGGUAUCAACGGGUAACGGGGAAUUAGGGUUCGACUCCGGAGAGGGAGCCUGAGAAACGGCUACCACAUCCAAGGAAGGCAGCAGGCGCGCAAAUUACCCAAUCCCGACACGGGGAGGUAGUGACAAUAAAUACUGAUACAGGGCUCUUUUGGGUCUUGUAAUUGGAAUGAGUACAAUUUAAAUCCCUUAACGAGGAACAAUUGGAGGGCAAGUCUGGUGCCAGCAGCCGCGGUAAUUCCAGCUCCAAUAGCGUAUAUUAAAGUUGUUGCAGUUAAAAAGCUCGUAGUUGAACCUUGGGCCUGGCUGGCCGGUCCGCCUCACCGCGUGUACUGGUCCGGCCGGGCCUUUCCUUCUGGGGAACCUCAUGCCCUUCACUGGGCGUGUUGGGGAACCAGGACUUUUACUUUGAAAAAAUUAGAGUGUUCAAAGCAGGCCUUUGCUCGAAUACAUUAGCAUGGAAUAAUAGAAUAGGACGUGUGGUUCUAUUUUGUUGGUUUCUAGGACCGCCGUAAUGAUUAAUAGGGAUAGUCGGGGGCAUCAGUAUUCAAUCGUCAGAGGUGAAAUUCUUGGAUUGAUUGAAGACUAACUACUGCGAAAGCAUUUGCCAAGGAUGUUUUCAUUAAUCAGUGAACGAAAGUUAGGGGAUCGAAGACGAUCAGAUACCGUCGUAGUCUUAACCAUAAACUAUGCCGACUAGGGAUCGGACGGUGUUAGUAUUUUGACCCGUUCGGCACCUUACGAGAAAUCAAAGUUUUUGGGUUCUGGGGGGAGUAUGGUCGCAAG